UGAGUACGACGGAGCACGUGAAAUUCCGUCGGAAUCUGGGAGGACCAUCUCCUAAGGCUAAAUACUCUCUAGUGACCGAUAGUGAACCAGUACCGUGAGGGAAAGGUGAAAAGUACCCCGGAAGGGGAGUGAAAGAGAACUUGAAACCGUGUGCUUACAAGUAGUCAGAGCCCGUUAAUGGGUGAUGGCGUGCCUUUUGUAGAAUGAACCGGCGAGUUACGAUCUGAUGCAAGGUUAAGCAGAAAAUGUGGAGCCGUAGCGAAAGCGAGUCUGAAUAGGGCGAAUGAGUAUUUGGUCGUAGACCCGAAACCAGGUGAUCUACCCUUGGUCAGGUUGAAGUUCAGGUAACACUGAAUGGAGGACCGAACCGACUUACGUUGAAAAGUGAGCGGAUGAACUGAGGGUAGCGGAGAAAUUCCAAUCGAACUUGGAGAUAGCUGGUUCUCUCCGAAAUAGCUUUAGGGCUAGCCUCAAGUGAUGAUUAUUGGAGGUAGAGCACUGUUUGGACGAGGGGCCCCUCUCGGGUUACCGAAUUCAGACAAACUCCGAAUGCCAAAUAAUUUAACUUGGGAGUCAGAAUGUGGGUGAUAAGGUCCAUAUUCGAAAGGGAAACAGCCCAGACCACCAGCUAAGGUCCCAAAAUAUAUGUUAAGUGGAAAAGGAUGUGGCGUUGCCCAGACAACUAGGAUGUUGGCUUAGAAGCAGCCAUCAUUUAAAGAGUGCGUAAUAGCUCACUAGUCGAGUGACACUGCGCCGAAAAUGUACCGGGGCUAAACAUAUUACCGAAGCUGUGGAUUGUCCUUUGGACAAU
Molecule: ribosomal RNA, 811 nt
Filed under: Staphylococcus pseudintermedius
Lineage: Bacteria; Bacillati; Bacillota; Bacilli; Caryophanales; Staphylococcaceae
Description: partial 23S ribosomal RNA
Rfam family: Bacterial large subunit ribosomal RNA
Source: RNAcentral